RNAcentral lists this microRNA precursor (75 nucleotides) under Myotis lucifugus (little brown bat). RNAcentral describes it as "mir-9193 microRNA precursor family". It matches the Rfam family "mir-9193 microRNA precursor family". Lineage: Eukaryota; Metazoa; Chordata; Mammalia; Chiroptera; Vespertilionidae. The record is from Rfam by way of RNAcentral.
CUUGGAGGGGGGGGGGUCCCUCUGCCUAGAUUGUGAGAGGACACAGGCCAGGCCGAGGGACUCUACUGGUGUACA